RNAcentral lists this long non-coding RNA (1902 nucleotides) under Homo sapiens (human). RNAcentral's name for it is "HSALNT0298045". Lineage: Eukaryota; Metazoa; Chordata; Mammalia; Primates; Hominidae. The record is from RNAcentral.
GGAAAGCCAGGGGGAUGCCAAACAGGCAGAGGGGCUGAAGGAAGGAGCAGAAGAGAACGAUCACGCUAUGGAAAAGCAUGAAGAGGACCUGGGGCAAGGCUGAAGAUGUGAUUGGGCCAGCUGGUGACCUGUUGCUGGCCUCAUGCUUCCACAUGAAGAUGCCAGGCUGCAAAACGGAGAAGAAGGAAGCCCAUGCAGAGAUGGCUUCUGAGUGAGAGCUUAGGAGCAGCUGCCCGGGUGCCCGUAGGCGGUCAGAUUUCUAGAUGCACUUCCUGUUCUUGGGUUCCGCAAGACACCCUCUGGCUCUUUUGCAUACAUUUUAAGCAACUACUUCUGAAGUUGGGAAAUCAGGAGUAGCCGCUGACUCUAAAGAGAAACUAUAUCAAUUUGGAAUGUAUUUGCAUUAUCAGUGAGUUUACUGGAAGUAUUAAAGCUGGACCAUCACUUGGAGAUGUUGUAAGGAAAUGUGAACAUUUGGCGAACAGACCUUUAAAUAAAGAAGGAAGCCAUGGGAGUGGCUGAGAUCUCCCUGAGAGAAAGUGGAGAGAUGUUCAGAGGUAACUUCGUUUAGAAACUUUUAUUUAAAAAUCACAUUUAGAAACUAGAAGGUGUGGGGGGACCCAGUAAAGGAGACAGAAAGGGAUUUACCAGAGAGUUGCGGGAGCUACGAUUGUGGUGUCAAAGAACCAAAGGGAGGAGCAAAUGCAAGAUCUCAACCAAUAAGGAAGUGUAAGCGACGAAGGGCAGGCCUUGGGGUGGGUCGACUCAGCAGCUCCACCAUUUUACUGAGAGCCCAGGUGCUUUCUACCUCUCUGCUCUGCUGUGCUUGGCGUUGGCUUCACCUGAGGGUUGAAGGUUCUUUCCUUGGAUGAGAGAUAACUGUGAGUAACUGGCACAGUGGAAGGGAGAGAAAGGACACUUUCCCAGCCAUGGAAUCUGAGCUUCUGUCUUCAGUCUGAUUGGGCUAUUUUAGAUCCUGUGCUCACCCUAGCCCAAAAAGAUUCCCCGGAGAAAUGCCAUUUACUAAUACCCUUCGCCUAUCAGGAACCACCCCUGUGGACCCAGGAACAGGGUCUGUGUCCCUUGAAGCACGUGACAGCAGAGGACGGGAGGCUCCACCUGAACAUGACCAGGGGUCUCCUGGGGAGGAAAAAUGGAGAUGGAAGCUGCAGAGGAAACGAACAGCUGCCCCCACACAUGCCGUACAAGGCCUGCAUGGGAUGAUGUACGUAGAGCUGCAUUUAAUGUAUACUAAAAAUCACUGGGCCGUGUUGCUAACUUCUGUUAGCAGAGAAUGCAGAAAGGCUGUGGGAGCCUUUCAUUGCCAGCUCUACGUGACCCUUCCCCUUAUGAUCAACACCAGACCAGGGAUUUAACUACAAGGCCCUGCCUUACCCAGCUCUUUUUGUCCCCACUUUGCAAAGUUCCUAAAAUGUACCAGAUUUCUUUCUUCUUCAUGGUCUUAUAUGCUGAUCCCUCUGCGGAAAACAGUCUCUGUAUUUGUUGCCUUUUCUUACGUAGGUUUCACUUCAUGUCAUUCCUUAAAGAGCACUUCCCUGUCCUCCUAAACUGAAUUAGGUGCCCCCUCCCUGGCUUGUGUCCCUAUUGGGAUCUAGUUCCAGAUUGUAAUUAUGUUUCUAUUAUGUUCAUGUGUAGCUCUGUGGUAUGGGGGCCACAUUUGUUCUGCUCACUAGUGAAUCCUCAGAGCCUGGCACAUGGCAAUGCUCAAGACAUUUGAUGAAUGAAUUAGCUAUUUCAUGCACUUCUUCGUCUAACUCUCAUGCCUAUUGUCUUUUUUAAGCAUGUGAGACAUCUUUGGAGGUUAUUGAAUGUAAAGAUUUCUACAAAACAGUACCCAUUCCAAAAGAUUAAUGAUGUUUAAUAAACCUAAAUAAUAAGGAA